GACAGAGGGUGCAAACGUUGUUCGGAAUUACUGGGCGUAAAGCGUGCGCAGGCGGCUUCGCAAGUCAGGCGUGAAAUCCCCGGGCUUAACCUGGGAAUGGCGUCUGAAACUACGGAGCUGGAGUGUGGCAGAGGGAGGUAGAAUUCCACGUGUAGCGGUGAAAUGCGUAGAUAUGUGGAGGAAUACCGAUGGCGAAGGCAGCCUCCUGGGCCAACACUGACGCUCAUGCACGAAAGCGUGGGGAGCAAACAGG
RNAcentral lists this ribosomal RNA (253 nucleotides) under uncultured bacterium. Its description in RNAcentral is "partial 16S ribosomal RNA". It matches the Rfam family "Bacterial small subunit ribosomal RNA", at positions 524 to 776 of the family's 1533-position model. The record is from RNAcentral.